Molecule: ribosomal RNA, 465 nt
Filed under: Vreelandella stevensii
Lineage: Bacteria; Pseudomonadati; Pseudomonadota; Gammaproteobacteria; Oceanospirillales; Halomonadaceae
Description: partial 16S ribosomal RNA
Rfam family: Bacterial small subunit ribosomal RNA
Source: RNAcentral
CCUACGGGUGGCAGCAGUGGGGAAUAUUGGACAAUGGGCGAAAGCCUGAUCCAGCCAUGCCGCGUGUGUGAAGAAGGCCUUCGGGUUGUAAAGCACUUUCAGUGGGGAAGAAAGCCUUGGGGCUAAUACCCUCGAGGAAGGACAUCACCCACAGAAGAAGCACCGGCUAACUCCGUGCCAGCAGCCGCGGUAAUACGGAGGGUGCGAGCGUUAAUCGGAAUUACUGGGCGUAAAGCGCGCGUAGGCGGUCUGAUAAGCCGGUUGUGAAAGCCCCGGGCUCAACCUGGGAACGGCAUCCGGAACUGUCAGGCUAGGGUGCAGGAGAGGAAGGUAGAAUUCCCGGUGUAGCGGUGAAAUGCGUAGAGAUCGGGAGGAAUACCAGUGGCGAAGGCGGCCUUCUGGACUGACACUGACGCUGAGGUGCGAAAGCGUGGGUAGCAAACAGGAUUAGAUACCCGUGUAGUC